Long non-coding RNA from Uranotaenia lowii, 730 nucleotides. RefSeq lists it as uncharacterized. The transcript has 3 exons. The record is from RefSeq and is a predicted model, not a curated record. NCBI's taxonomy places the organism in Eukaryota, Metazoa, Arthropoda, Insecta, Diptera, Culicidae.
UCUCCAGCAGCCUUUACAGGAAGAUAAAUCGGACGGCCGUGUCGUGACGAUCGGUUAGGUGUUUUUUGAAGAAUUUCGAAGACAUAAAUUUUUGGGGCCAUCAGCUGCAGUGGCAAAAAAAAUGUCGUGCACUGUUGCUGCAGAUCUUACAGCAACAAUCGUCCAGAUCAAAGUGUCCAGGUGCAAGUCCAAACGGACGCCUUCGGAGCGAAGAUUACCAUGUCCGCACUAAUGAAAUUCACAGCAGCAACGGCCAGAACUAUCCCGACGGCAUUCACUGGGACGAUGAGUUUUCACAAUUCCCGUGGAUCUGCGGAAUAUCAGCCACUCGGGAAAAAUAUUACGCUGUCAAUAUGCGGUUCCAAACAGCUUCGCAAUCGAUUUACGGGGGCCAGUAUUUGCGGCAGUCUUAGGUGCAGUUUCGGAUUGUCUUCUCGAAGCCGUAGCUUUCCAUAAUCGACGAAGAACAUUCCCUAGCAGCAGAGCUUAACCAAUAGUUGCCCAAACCAAGAAGACCCCGUCGGACUAAGAUUGGCGUCUAUAUUCCGGAUCACAAGUAGUUGUUUCCGGUUAGUGGAUGGUCAAAUAUACGAAACGGAAAAUUGGAUUUGCAGGUUUCAAAGAUACACUGAAUAAGUGCUUGUGAAUUUGGUUCCAUAGUGCCGAAUGUGCAAAAUGAAAAUGUUAUUUUUUAAUUCCAUUUUAAAUUAUUUGAAUUGAAUAAACUGUA